This 202-nucleotide long non-coding RNA is filed under the name Vigna radiata. Its description in RNAcentral is "long non-coding RNA (VRAD_LNC011236)". Lineage: Eukaryota; Viridiplantae; Streptophyta; Magnoliopsida; Fabales; Fabaceae. The record is from RNAcentral.
CCAAUUUCUUGAAUAUUUCCAUAAAGCACUUAAACUUCUUUUCCUUCCUAUGAUAUUUCUUUUGAUGAGGAAGAGGUUUUGCAUAUGAUCUUUUCUUCUUUCCUCUCUUCCUCUUUUUCUUAAUCUCCUCCCUCAACUUUCUCUUUUUCUCUUUUCUUCUUUUCUUCUUUAUUUUCGCAUAUUUUUUCUUUUUUUCUUUUUU